This 479-nucleotide ribosomal RNA is filed under the name uncultured bacterium. RNAcentral's name for it is "partial 16S ribosomal RNA". It matches the Rfam family "Bacterial small subunit ribosomal RNA", at positions 28 to 507 of the family's 1533-position model. The record is from RNAcentral.
GAUGAACGCUAGCGGGAGGCCUAACACAUGCAAGCCGAGCGGUAUUGUUUCUUCGGACAUGAGAGAGCGGCGUACGGGUGCGUAACACGUGUGCAACCUGCCUUUAUCUGGGGGAUAGCCUUUCGAAAGGAAGAUUAAUACUCCAUAAUAUAUUGAACGGCAUCGUUUAAUAUUGAAGGCUCCGGCGGAUAGAGAUGGGCACGCGCAAGAUUAGCUAGUUGGUGAGGUAACGGCUCACCAAGGCGAUGAUCUUUAGGGGGCCUGAGAGGGUGAUCCCCCACACUGGUACUGAGACACGGACCAGACUCCUACGGGAGGCAGCAGUGAGGAAUAUUGGUCAAUGGGUGCAAGCCUGAACCAGCCAUCCCGCGUGAAGGACGACUGCCCUAUGGGUUGUAAACUUCUUUUGUAUAGGGAUAAACCUACCCUCGAGAGGGUAGCUGAAGGUACUAUACGAAUAAGCACCGGCUAACUCCGUG